GUGGGCGUAGCUCAGAUGGUAGAGCGCUCGCUUAGUAUGCGAGAGGUACGUGGAUCGAUACCCCGCGCCUCCA
This 73-nucleotide transfer RNA is filed under the name Trichonephila clavipes. It matches the Rfam family "tRNA". From Rfam's summary of the family: Transfer RNA (tRNA) molecules are approximately 80 nucleotides in length. Their secondary structure includes four short double-helical elements and three loops (D, anti-codon, and T loops). The record is from Rfam by way of RNAcentral. Lineage: Eukaryota; Metazoa; Arthropoda; Arachnida; Araneae; Nephilidae.